This 440-nucleotide ribosomal RNA is filed under the name uncultured bacterium. RNAcentral describes it as "partial 16S ribosomal RNA". It matches the Rfam family "Bacterial small subunit ribosomal RNA", at positions 338 to 795 of the family's 1533-position model. The record is from RNAcentral.
CCUACGAGGUGCAGCAGUGGGGGAUAUUGCACAAUGGGGGAAACCCUGAUGCAGCGACGCCGCGUGUGGGAAGACGGUCCUCUGGAUUGUAAACCACUGUCCCCAGGGACGAAGAUGACGGUACCUGGGGAGGAAGCUCCGGCUAACUACAUGCCAGCAGCCGCGGUAAUACGUAGGGAGCGAGCGGUGUCGGGAAUUACUUGGUGUAAAGGGAGCGUAGGCGGGGAUGCAAGUUGGGUGUCAACACUACCGGCUCAACUGGUAGUCGCACUCAAAACUGCAGCUGUUGAGUGACGUAGAGGCAGGCGGAAUUCCUAGCGUAGCGGUGAAAUGCGUAGAUAGUAGGAGGAACACCAGUGGCGAAGGCGGCCUGCUGGGCUUUUACUGACGCUGAGGCUCGAAAGUGCGGGGAGCAAACAGGAUUAGAUACCCUGGUAGUC